Molecule: ribosomal RNA, 394 nt
Filed under: uncultured bacterium
Lineage: Bacteria
Description: bacterial SSU rRNA
Rfam family: Bacterial small subunit ribosomal RNA
Source: RNAcentral
GUGCCAGCAGCCGCGGUAAAACGUAGGACGCUAGCGUUAUCCGGAUUUAUUGGGCGUAAAGCGCGUCUAGGCGGCGUCUUAAGUUGGGCGUGAAAUCUUCCGGCUCAACCGGAAGGGGCCGUCCAAUACUGAGACGCUUGAGGGCAGCAGGGGGAGGUGGAAUCCCCGGUGUAGCGGUGGAAUGCGUAGAUAUCGGGAGGAACACCAGUGGCGAAGGCGGCCUCCUGGGCUGUACCUGACGCUGAAGCGCGAAAGCGUGGGGNGCAAACGGGAUUACGAUACCCCGGUAGUCCACGCUGUAAACGAUGGAUACUAGGUGUAGGUGGUAUUCGACCCCAUCAGCUGCCGCAGCUAACGCGUUAAGUAUCCCGCCGUGGGGACUACGCGCCGCAAG